CUCAGAACAGGUCAGGGCUGGGGAGGAGAGACGUCCACUGCUCACUCAGCUCUUGGCUCCUUCAUGGCACAGUUCUGGGCUGGAAGCCAUGAUCCUGGUCUACUACAUGGCUGGGAGAGUGACUGAAUUACUUUGUCUCCCAAACCUAGGAAAGGAUACCUUAGCAAGAAUGCUUGUCUGCUGGAGAGACCACAUCUGGAGUUCUGAAUUGAGAUGCAGAUCCUGUGUAUAAGAAGGACAUAGGAAGAGCUGUAUGUCAGAGGAGGAGAAGCAGAGACUCCCACACCACGUUGUGGGAAGAACCUGCUUCGUGCUCAGGGGUCUUCCUUCUCUUUCUAGGCAGAAAUGUCUAAAGAAACAGCCUAGCAUUGCCGUGUCACCACUGAGCAAGAGACCCCCUUCUCAUUAAGGAAUUUGGAGUGAAAUGACACAGCGCAUGAAAAAGUUCUCUGUGGAGUUAUCAGCAUUUUUUCAAAUAAAUUAUUUAUAUUUUUU
RNAcentral lists this long non-coding RNA (495 nucleotides) under Homo sapiens (human). RNAcentral describes it as "HSALNT0047188". Lineage: Eukaryota; Metazoa; Chordata; Mammalia; Primates; Hominidae. The record is from RNAcentral.